AGUGAACGCUGGCGGUAGGCCUAACACAUGCAAGUCGAACGGCAGCACAGUAAGAGCUUGCUCUUACGGGUGGCGAGUGGCGGACGGGUGAGGAAUACAUCGGAAUCUACUUUUUCGUGGGGGAUAACGUAGGGAAACUUACGCUAAUACCGCAUACGACCUACGGGUGAAAGCAGGGGAUCUUCGGACCUUGCGCGAUUGAGUGAGCCGAUGUCGGAUUAGCUAGUUGGCGGGGUAAAGGCCCACCAAGGCGACGAUCCGUAGCUGGUCUGAGAGGAUGAUCAGCCACACUGGAACUGAGACACGGUCCAGACUCCUACGGGAGGCAGCAGUGGGGAAUAUUGGACAAUGGGCGCAAGCCUGAUCCAGCCAUACCGCGUGGGUGAAGAAGGCCCUCGGGUUGUAAAGCCCUUUUGUUGGGAAAGAAAAGCAGCAGGUUAAUACCCCGCUGUUCUGACGGUACCCAAAGAAUAAGCACCGGCUAACUUCGUG
RNAcentral lists this ribosomal RNA (492 nucleotides) under uncultured bacterium. RNAcentral's name for it is "partial 16S ribosomal RNA". It matches the Rfam family "Bacterial small subunit ribosomal RNA", at positions 29 to 507 of the family's 1533-position model. The record is from RNAcentral.